RNAcentral lists this ribosomal RNA (445 nucleotides) under uncultured bacterium. RNAcentral describes it as "partial 16S ribosomal RNA". It matches the Rfam family "Bacterial small subunit ribosomal RNA", at positions 354 to 796 of the family's 1533-position model. The record is from RNAcentral.
GUGAGGAAUAUUGCGCAAUGGAGGCAACUCUGACGCAGCCAUGCCGCGUGCAGGAAGAAGGCGCUACGCGUUGUAAACUGCUUUUAACCGGGAAGAAACCCCAGGACGUGUCCUGGGUUGACGGUACCGGAGGAAUAAGCACCGGCUAACUUCGUGCCAGCAGCCGCGGUAAUACGAAGGGUGCAAGCGUUAUCCGGAUUCAUUGGGUUUAAAGGGUGCGUAGGCGGAGCGUUAAGUCAGUGGUGAAAUCCUGCAGCUUAACUGUAGAAUUGCCAUUGAUACUGGCGCUCUUGAGUGCGCUUGAAGUGGGCGGAAUGUGCCGUGUAGCGGUGAAAUGCUUAGAUAUGGCACAGAACACCAAUUGCGAAGGCAGCUCACUAAGGCGAUACUGACGCUGAGGCACGAAAGCGUGGGGAUCGAACAGGAUUAGAAACCCGUGUAGUCC